CCCUUAGAUGUUCUGGGCCGCACGCGCGCUACGCUGAUGCAUUCAACGAGCCUAUCCUUGACCGACAGGUCCGGGUAAUCUUUGAAUCUGCAUCGUGACGGGGAUAGAUUAUUGCAAUUAUUAAUCUUCAACGAGGAAUGCCUAGUAGGCGCAAGUCAUCAGCUUGCGUCGAUUACGUCCCUGCCCUUUGUACACACCGCCCGUCGCUCCUACCGAUUGGGUGUGCUGGUGAAAUGUUCGGAUCGGCCGUUUGUCGCGGUUUCCGCGGCUCGUGGCUGAGAAGUUCAUUAAACCCUCCCACCUAGAGGAAGGAGAAGUCGUAACA
This 325-nucleotide ribosomal RNA is filed under the name uncultured eukaryote. RNAcentral describes it as "partial 18S ribosomal RNA". It matches the Rfam family "Eukaryotic small subunit ribosomal RNA", at positions 1470 to 1796 of the family's 1831-position model. The record is from RNAcentral.